This 425-nucleotide ribosomal RNA is filed under the name uncultured bacterium. Its description in RNAcentral is "bacterial SSU rRNA". It matches the Rfam family "Bacterial small subunit ribosomal RNA", at positions 53 to 438 of the family's 1533-position model. The record is from RNAcentral.
GCAUGCAAGUCGUGCGUGGAUCUGGCUUUUUCAAUUCUUCGGAAGAGAAUGUUGCCAGUGAGAGCUGGCGAACGUGGUUAGUAAUAAAUGGUGUAAUUUGCCCCUUUGUUCGGGAUAGCCCGAGGAAACUCGGAUUAAUACCGGAUGUGUUCGGGUGCCACAUGGUACCCUAUAUAAAGGCGGGGAUUCUUCGGAACCUGUCGCAAAGAGAUAGGCCCAUUUCCUAUACAGCUUGUUGGUGAGGUAACGGCUCACCAAGGCUUACGGGUAGUUGGUCUGAGAGGAUGAUCAGCAACACUGGGACUGAGACACUGCCCAGACUCCUACGGGAGUGCUGCAUGUCGAGAAUCAUUGUCAAUGCACGAAAGUGUGAACAUGCGACGCCGCGUGGAGGAAGACGGCCUUCGGGUGUAAAACUCCUGUCA